CAUGCAAGUCGAGGGGCAGCAUUUCAGUUUGCUUGCAAACUGGAGAUGGCGACCGGCGCACGGGUGAGUAACACGNUAUCCAACCUGCCGAUAACUCGGGGAUAGCCUUUCGAAAGAAAGAUUAAUACCCGAUGGUAUAAUCAGACCGCAUGGUCUUAUUAUUAAAGAAUUUCGGUUAUCGAUGGGGAUGCGUUCCAUUAGGCAGUUGGUGAGGUAACGGCUCACCAAACCUUCGAUGGAUAGGGGUUCUGAGAGGAAGGUCCCCCACAUUGGAACUGAGACACGGUCCAAACUCNUACGGGAGGCAGCAGUGAGGAAUAUUGGUCAAUGGGCGCAGGCCUGAACCAGCCAAGUAGCGUGAAGGAUGACUGCCCUAUGGGUUGUAAACUUCUUUUAUAUGGGAAUAAAGUUUUCCACGUGUGGAAUUUUGUAUGUACCAUAUGAAUAAGGAUCGGCUAACUCCGUGCCAGCAGCCGCGGUAAUACGGAGGAUCCGAGCGUUAUCCGGAUUUAUUGGGUUUAAAGGGAGCGUAGGUGGACAGUUAAGUCAGUUGUGAAAGUUUGCGGCUCAACCGUAAAAUUGCAGUUGAUACUGGCUGUCUUGAGUACAGUAGAGGUGGGCGGAAUUCGUGGUGUAGCGGUGAAAUGCUUAGAUAUCACGAAGAACUCCGAUUGCGAAGGCAGCUCACUGGACUGCAACUGACACUGAUGCUCGAAAGUGUGGGUAUCAAACAGGAUUAGAUACCCUGGUAGUCCACACAGUAAACGAUGAAUACUCGCUGUUUGCGAUAUACAGUAAGCGGCCAAGCGAAAGCAUUAAGUAUUCCACCUGGGGAGUACCCCGGCAACGGUGAAACUCAAAGGAAUUGACGGGGGCCCGCACAAGCGGAGGAACAUGUGGUUUAAUUCGAUGAUACGCGAGGAACCUUACCCGGGCUUAAAUUGCAUUUGAAUAAUNUGGAAACAGNUUAGCCGNAAGGCAAAUGUGAAGGUGCUGCAUGGUUGUCGUCAGCUCGUGCCGUGAGGUGUCGGCUUAAGUGCCAUAACGAGCGCAACCCUUAUCUUUAGUUACUAACAGGUCAUGCUGAGGACUCUAGAGAGACUGCCGUCGUAAGAUGUGAGGAAGGUGGGGAUGACGUCAAAUCAGCACGGCCCUUACGUCCGGGGCUACACACGUGUUACAAUGGGGGGUACAGAAGGCAGCUACCUGGUGACAGGAUGCUAAUCCCAAAAGCCUCUCUCAGUUCGGAUCGAAGUCUGCAACCCGACUUCGUGAAGCUGGAUUCGCUAGUAAUCGCGCAUCAGCCAUGGCGCGGUGAAUACGUUCCCGGGCCUUGUACACNCCGCCCGUCAAGCCAUGAAAGCCGGGGGUACCUGAAGUACGUACCGCA
Molecule: ribosomal RNA, 1390 nt
Filed under: bacterium NLAE-zl-P175
Lineage: Bacteria
Description: 16S ribosomal RNA
Rfam family: Bacterial small subunit ribosomal RNA
Source: RNAcentral